ACUCGCCGAGUUCACAAUCGGCAACGGCGGCGGACAGGACUUCUACGACGUCAGCCUCGUCGACGGCUACAACGUCCAGAUGGGAAUCACGACGCGAGACGGAUCAGGCGAUUGCCAAAACGUUGGAUGCGUUUCGGACCUGAACGGGAGCUGUCCGAACGAACUACGCGUUAUGGACGGAGGAAACGUUGUGGCAUGUAAGAGCGCUUGUGCGGCGUUUAACAAACCGGAAUAUUGUUGCACCGGUGCGUUCGAUAAGCCGGAGACUUGUCCGCCGACGGAUUACUCGAGGAUAUUCAAAGCAGCUUGCCCUAAAGCCUACAGCUACGCAUACGACGACGCUUCGAGCACUUUUACUUGCACCAACGCUAAUUACUCCGUCGUUUUCUGUCCCAGAUCAUAGAUACAUACAUGCAUACAUUAUCAUUUAUCACACCAUAAUUAUCAUUAUCAUCGAGUAAAAUUACAGUGGAGUCGCUGGAUGUAAUAAGAGCUUUUGCGGAAUGAGAUAAAUUCCGCAGGCUGACAUUAUAGUUAAUAAUAAAGAUACAGAAUAAAAUUUAUGAAAAAAAUCGUGUGAUUAGCUAUUUUUCUGUGGAAUGACAGCAUAAGUUCAUACUUACCAACAUAAACAUGUCUAAUAUUUAGAACUUGAAUGAUUUUAGUAUUUUACUCACCAAUAAACGCAAAAUAUCUUAAUAAAUCAUAAUUAUAUUAAUUAAUAAUAUGGUAUAUAUUUUCCUUGUACAUAACAACAAGAAAAGCCUAUUAAAAUUCCAAAUACAAUCGGGUUUCUUAUGUUAUUAUAUUCCGUAUGUUCCUAAAUAUAAGAUGUUUAAAAAAAAAUUGAUGUUUCAAUAAUAUGUAUGAGGUUCUAAUAUUUCUAGAUAAUUUUAAAUUUAUCAAAAACUAUGUAACCAAUCAUAUAGUCUAUUUGUUUCAACUAAAAUAUCUUAUAUUUAGGAACUGGGGAAGUAGUUAUUAAUUGUUUGAUCGUUGAUGCAUAGUUACGCUACUAAAUACAUGUUGCAUGGUGAUAUUCAAUUUUCUUGGUAUCUUUAUCCAAGCGCACAUGCGUUCUAUAAAAGUAAUUCACCAUGAUAUGCAUCUAUAACUAUAAGCAGCGAUUCCUGUUCUUAUACGUUUAUACUCCACUAAAGGACUAGUCAGGCAACCAAGUUGCUUUGGUCUAGUGGUAUAGGAGCUCCAGCUGGAGUGUCCGUCCUGGGUUCGAACCUUGGCCACUGCGGAAUUUACAUAUGGGCUGCAGCAUCCGAGACCGAAGACCGUUACGCGGUGAACCACCUGGUGACCUUCGGGUCCAUGCUCGCUUCGGUCUCUAAUCCGGACCACCACGGUGGAUCCAGGAUACUCGGUUAUAAAAAAAAAAAGAACUAGUCAGGCGAAAAAGAAAAGGGAGGCAGAUUCUCCCGCGAGGGUUUAUUAUAUAAGAAGGCGAGAGUAAGAGUAUGAAGUUAUAUCAAAUCUGAUUGCAGCAACAAAAGAGAGAUUGAAAAUCUUGAAUAUGUGUUUAUUGCGCAAAGAGAAGGACGUAGAUGAGUGCAUGGAGAGAGAUGAAGAGGAAGUUUGGUUGUAUGUUUUGUUUUACUCGCAACAGGCCCAUCAAUAAAUUAUGUUUCAAUCUAUAAAAUAAUGUUACUACUCAAUUUAAAACAAAAAAAAAAGGACUGAGAGAAAGGUCACAUAAAACAUAUUUACAUUGUAACAUACUAAAAUCAGAACAGAUAGUAAAUUCAAUUGGAAGCUUUAGAGAGUCAUGUUUCUUGAUUUCAGGGUCUUUUUUUGUUUGAUUGGGGGUAAUUACAUGGUUAAACAACAGAAGCAAGAAGAAACAACAUUCUACUCCUUAGCCAAAUAUCUCCGGAACGAGCUAAAACUUGCUGCAGCAAGCCACAAAUGGUUACUCAAGUUGGCAUCACUUUACUUAGAGGAUCUAUUAUUAAAGUCAGGGCUUGUUUCUUUUAGCUGAUGCAGUUAAGAUCGGUGUUUCUGGCUUCUUUGGAUUGCAACUUGCAGGCUCUCUUCAUUCUCUUUGCAGCUUGAACAAACCCCAUAAUAACUUGAGGCUCAUCCAUUUGCUGAAAGUAUCAUACAUAUUUAAAUUGUUUUAUCAGAACCAAUAUUAUAAUAACACAUGAGACGAAUCAAGUGAAGUCUGAGAAGGAUAUAGGCAUGUACCUGAGACAUAAAGUGUCUCUGAACAAUGUCAAUUAGUUGCUCCUUUGAUGGAUUUGGAAUUGCAUCCACCUACAAGGAGUUUAUUCAUGAGCAAAAGGACACAGGAGCAAGCACAUACAAAAGUAGAGUUCCAGAUUGGAUAAAGUGAAGGCUUUCUUCUUUUUUACGAGGUUGAAAUGUUGCCAAUAUUUGAGUAAAGCAGGCAUUUCCAGUUUGCUAAGAUCAACCUUCUGCGUGAAAGCAUAUUAGUACAAGAUCAGUCGCCUUAUAUUCAAUACCAAAUGGAAUAAAAUUUAUAAUAAAAAUUGAAUGCUUACCAUGUUUUGAGGGAGAGUAAAAGCAGAGCUUUUUGAUUGUGAGUCAGAUGAUAGAGACCUGCUCAGGGUCUUGUGAAAUGACCGUGAUGAUCUCUGCCCUCUUAGCUUCGACUUAUGAGGCUUCAGUGUGUCCUCGGAUGCUGGAAAAGAAACAACUUGUCAUAGAAACAAGGCUGAGAAUAUCAGUUUAAAAAGGUUACAGACAGCUUUUAUGUGUGUCCAAAGAACAAUAUGCCUCUUAGUAACUCACUGGAUACUAAAUAAAGUUAAGAAAACUCUUAUCAAAGUAUUUAUACAAUUGACAGAAUCCUUAAAUAAAAUUCAUUCCUUUUCUUUUUUGGUGGAAAUUUUGAAAAGCAGAAUCUUGAAGAAAGGCAAGGAAUCAAACUUACUCAUAUCAGAACCAUUCCUCAGUGUAUUUUCGAAAUCAAGAUCAUCGUCUACUUCAUUUCCAGUAGGAGCUUCAAGGACACUGAAUGCAUUCCUCUGCAACUUUACUUCUAUUCCAUUUGUCAACACCUAAAAAUGAUUGGGAUUAAAUAAUAUUACUCCAUAAACAAGUACUGACAGAUUCAUUUAAAUAAACUCCAGAAGAAGAAGAGCAGAUAUGACAUGUUCCCGUGUCCACGUUGGGUGGAACCCAAGCUGGGACACAACGUUCCUAAAGAAACUCCACUCUAGUCUAUUGUACACCCUGUUCAUAUCCGUUUUAACGGCCAUUGAACAGUGUCUCUUUGCUGAUGAAGUACACAAAUAAUGGAAAAUUUGAUAAGAAAUCAAUACACUGUCAGAGAUUGACCUCCUGCUACAAAGGCAAACUGAUGAAGUUGCGAUGAUCUUGCGAGGAACACACAGCUACGGGCCUAUAAUCAAUCAUAACAGUCCUCGGGCUCUUUGUCUUCGAAUUAGUCGGACACAAGUUUCGUUUUUGCCGCCUUUGAAUAGAUCCCGUUUAAAAGGUUUCAACUCUAUGUUGGACAAGUUCCAUUGGUAAAAAUGCUGCUGGGCUAACAUUUUGUUUUAAAUCUCGGAUUCAUUUGAAUAGUGUGACGAAGUGUGUUGCUUGUAGAUUUUUUUUUUUUCUAGGUUGUCCACAUAUUUUUUAUAAAACUAAAGAUUUUUACUGAUAAUUCAGUACAUAUAUAACACUUUAUUUUUUUUAGAACGUAAUCAAUACUAGCAUUUUGACGUACGUGGAAACUAAAAAAACGUAAAAUGACAAACUGAAAACGAAAUAAACUCGUACAAGAAAAUUCAACAUGUGUCGUAUGUUUUCGACGUUCGAAUAAAUACGCGAUCAUAAUGAUAGUAGAAAAGUAAGCACCAAUUGGCAAUUGCCAUAUCUACUAGCUUUUCUCGCAUAUACCCAACAUCAGUUAGCAAAAGGACACACGACUUAGACUGGCAGCAAGAAAAUUAUAAUUCAAAAAUUUCUGACGGAACAUGCUAAAACUAAAGGACAAAUUAAUGAAUCACAUAUACAAGCUUAUGUAUCAGAUGAAUCUUUAGAAAAAUGAUAUAUAAAUUUGUUGUCUUAGAUGCCUUUAAUUAAAUUUGGCUCUACCAAGGAAAUAACCAUUACAAAAGAAUAUUCAACCAGUUUAGCAAAUAAAGAAAGAAUAUUCAACCAUAUGUUACAAACUAGAUCAGAUCACAUGGUAUGUUUUUGUCAAGUCUCCCCAACCCCUGUUUUACUUACAAAGUCGUCUAUAUAUCGUUUUUUGCAUUUAUUUUUUUAUUAUGCCUGUGAAAGAACUACUUGUGGAAUUUAGUUCUGUCUGUAACUUGGUCAAAUAUUGUUUGAAGAAAUGAUAGAAUUCAUUCGGUUGCACACUUGAGAAGAUUACUAUAAAUAGAGGGAUCCGUGCCAUGAACUUACUACUACAUUCAUCAUUACACAUUCGAUUAAUACUUGAGAAUUUAAAAAAAUGGCGCGUUUCUCUGGUUUACACCUUCUCUUCUUCUCCUUCAUCAUAGCUACAGGUAUACGUACACACAUGAUACGUACACUUUGCUCUAAUCUUCUAGUAAAUCAUUAUGGUUCUUAUCAGCGUUCCGCAUAAGUUUUCACAAUACGUACUUGUUUCAUGCAUAGAAAAGGAUAUAGUACAAGUAUUUCAAAGGAUAUAUAAUACAAUCUAAUAAAACUAUAUAAGUAACUUUGAUUGUGUACUAUGCAAGGCACAGUUACCGUCGUAUCCGGCACCGUCUUCACCGUCGUGAACAGCUGCAGUUUCCCCGUCUGGCCGGGAAUCCUCACCGGAGACAACGGUGUACAACUCAACGACGGGGGAUUUGAAUUAGCCCCAGGAGCUUCCGUCGAUGUAACCGCACCUGCGGGAUGGUCUGGCCGAAUAUGGGGGCGAACGGGCUGCAACUUCGAUGGCUCCGGCGCGGGAAGUUGCCUCACCGGAGACUGCGGCAACAAACUAAAAUGCGCAGGCGCAGGAGGAGUUCCACCGGUCACACUCGCCGAAUUCACAAUCGGCACUGGUGGCGGGCAGGACAACUACGACGUAAGCCUGGUCGAUGGUUACAACAUCCAGAUGGCACUCACAACGCGUGACGGCUCAGGCGAUUGCCAAAACGGUGGAUGCGAUUCGGACCUGAACGGGAGCUGUCCGAACGACCAACGCGUUAUGGACGGAGCGAACGUUGUGGCGUGUAGGAGCGCAUGCGAGGCAUUUAAAAAGCCUGAGUAUUGUUGCACCGGUGCGUUCGAUAAACCGGAGACUUGCCCGCCGACGGAAUUGUCGAAGAUAUUUAAAGCAGCUUGCCCUAGAGCGUAUAGCUACGCUUACGACGACCGUAAUACGAGCCUUUUUACUUGCACCAAUGCUAAUUACUCCAUCGUUUUCUGUCCCAAAGCAUAGAUACAUCCAUUACCAUUAUCAUUAUUAGCAACUAGUAUUAUGUACCGUGUAAUCGCUGAAUGCAAUAAACGCUUUUGCGGGAUGUGAUAAAUUCCGCAGGCUGAUAUUAUAAGAAAUAAUAAACCUACAGAAUGAAAUUUAUGAAAAAAUAUCGUAUGAUGAUUAGUUAGUUUUAUGAGAUGGCAGAGUACUAUACUAGAGAACUACCAACAUAUAUAGCGAUAUGUUUGAUAUUCAUAGUAUUUUUAACAAUGAAUGAUUCUACUCACUCAAUUAACGCAGAUACAACAGAAAUCUUAACUGGUUAAUAACGUGAUGUGUAUUUUUUUCUCCUAAGAGCAACCUAAUUGCAAAGGUUCAUUAGUUUUGGAUAUUUCACAAUUUACAACAGAAACAAAACACUGUAUUUCUAAAUUAAUAAGAUUUUCAAAUGCUGAUAUAUGCAUCCCAAAAUAAUAUUCUUCUAGAUAAUUAACAUUGAGAACUCUAUUCAUUUAAAUAUAAUUUUGUUUUUGUUUAGUGUGAGAUACCAAAGUUAAGAACCUAGGAAUAGAAAAGCUCGAAGAAAAUAUUAUUUUUUCAUAUAUGAUUUAUCUUAUUCUAAUAAUUAAUUGUUUGGUACAUUGUUAGUGGUGGAAUACAAAUCUUUUAGUAUCUUGUUUUUUUUUUAAUCCAGAGGCACAUGCGUUCUAUAAAAGUAAUUCACCAUGCAAUGCAUCCACAUUCCUCACCAGGCUAACUUACCCUUAUCGUCAUCAUCGUCGUAUAUGAACAGCGAUUCUUGUUCGUAUACGUUUAUUCUCCAGCAAAGGACUAGUAGUCAAGCGAAGAAGAAAGGGCCGGGAGGCAGAAAAAGAGACCGCCGUGAGAGUUCUUGCAUUUAUAUAAGAAGGCGAGAGUAAGAGUAUGAAGUUAAGUCUCGAGAGUAAGAGAUGUGAUUGCAGCAAGAAAAGAGAGUAGAAAAUCUUGAAUAUAUUGUUUAUUGCGCAAAGAAAAGGACGAAGAUGAGUGCAUGGAGAGAGAUGAAGAGGAAGUUUCGUUGUAUGUCUUCUUCUACUCGCAACAGGGCUAUCAAUUAGUUAUGUUUCAAUCUAUACCAAUCGUUUUGAAACAAAAGAAAGAGUGAGAGAAGUCAUAUAAAAACAUAUUUACAAUCUAACAAACCAAGUAUCAGAACAUAUAGUAAUUUAAAUUGGGAGCUUUAGAGAGUCAUGCUUCUUGGUUUCAGGGUAAUUUGUUUUUUUUUUUACACGGCUAAACAACAGAAGCAAGAAGAAACAACAUUCUACUCCUUAGCCAAACAUCUCCAGAACGAACUAAGACUAGCUGCAGCAAGCCACAAAUGGUUAAACAAGUUUGGCAUCACUGUACUUACAGGAACUGUUAUAAAAGUCAGGGCUUGUUUCUUUUAGCUGAUGCAGUUAAGAUCGGUGUUUCUGGCUUCUUUGGAUUGCAACUUGCACGCUCUCUUCAUUCUCUUUGCUGCUUGGACAAACCCCAUAAUAACUUGAAGCUCAUCCAUUUGCUGAAAAAUAUCAUAACAUAUUUAAAUUGUUUUAUCAGAACCAAAAUUAUAAUAACACAUGAGACGAAUCAAGUGAAGUCUGAGAAGGAUAUAGGCAUGUACCUGAGACAUAAAGUGUCUCUGAACAAUGUCAAUUAGUUGCUCCUUUGAUGGAUUUGGAAUUGCAUCCACCUACAAGGAGUUUAUUCAUGAGCAAAGGACAAAGACUUCUAGAAUGAUGAGCAAAGAGAAGGUUUUCUCUUAGUUCUUAAAAUCUAACUUACGAGGUUGAAAUGUUGCCAAUAUUUCAGCAAUGCAGGCAUUUCCAGUUUGCUUAGAUCAACCUUCUGCAGAAAUCAUUUAAUCUCGCAUUAGUACAAGAUUUUUUUUUUUUUGAAAACAUUUUUUUAAACAUCACAUUAGUACAAGAUCAGUCGCAUAAUGUUCAAUAGCAAAUGGAAUAAACCUCAAAGAUUUUGAAUGCAUACCAUCAUGUUCUGAGGGGGAGUAAAAGCAGAGCUUUUUGAUUGUGACUCAGAUGAUAAAGACCUGCUCAGGGUCUUGUGAGAUGACCGUGAUGAUCUCUGCCUUCUUAGCUUCGACUUAUGAGGCUUCAGAGUGUCCUCGGAUGCUGGAAAAGAAACAACUUGUCAAAGAAACAAGGCUGAGAAUAUCAGUUUAAAAAGGUUACAUGUUAUGUGUGUCCAAAGAACAAUAUGCCUCUUAGUAACUCAGACUAAACAAAGUUAAGAAAACUCUUAUCAAAGUAUUUUUACAAUUGACAGAAUCCUUAAAUAAAACUCAUUCCUUUUCUUUUUUGGUGGAAAUUUUGGAAAGCAGAAUCUUGAAGAAAGGCAAGGAAUCAAACUUACUCAUAUCAGAACCAUUCCUCAGUGUAUUUUCGAAAUCAAGAUCAUCGUCUACUUCAUUUCCAGUAGGAGCUUCAAGGACACUGAGUGCAUUCCUCUGCAACUUUACUUCUAUUCCAUUUGUCAAUACCUAAUAAAAACAAAAAUAAACAACAAUUAUUGGGAUUAAAUAUUCUACUCCAUAAACAAGUACUGACAGAUUCAUUUAAAUAAACUCCAGAAGAAGAAGAGUAGAUAUGAUAUAUUCCCCUAUCAUUGAAAGAAACUUUAUCAUAUUUUUCCAUGGGAACUGGUGGGAAUGUGAUAUCGCAUAACUAGAAAACUAGUACUGAGAGAAAAUCGUAUAUAAUAUUCAGAUUACUCUUUAAAGUUGAAAGCCAGAAUAUGGUGAAGUUAACUCCUUUUUGGUCCACAUACACAGAGACACUAUAAACAAAAAGGAUCUUGGCAGAGCAAUUUAUAAUAUUAAACUAUAUACUAAACCAACCAGAAGAAAAAGAUUUUGAUAAAAGAAAAGUCGACAGAAAAUGACUCAACUAAACAAAAAAAAAAGCCAAAAACAAAUGAUUAUCAUUAAAAAAAGACUCUUAUUAGUCUUGAAUUUCAAAAGGCCAGCUUGAAUCCAUAGGGUGGAGAAACAUGAUGGAGAAUUAGAUAACAAGUGCACAUUUGAUAUGAUGUUUUUUUGUUCAACAGGGGCGAAAAAUAUAAAGUUGUCUUUAUUUUCUGCCUAACUCAAAAUCCCAUUAUCUCCUAUAGAUGAUUCCUGAGAUUGAGCCUGAAUCUCAGCAAGAAACAUCAAAUAGAUGCAAACAAAGUUUUAAUCAGAAAAAAACAAAAUUAAAAAAAAAAGAAAAAAUCAAUGUAGGCUUCAUGAAUAACCUAACAACUAAAGAACACCAAAAGCAAGGUUGAACAGUUGUAAGAAAGCCAGUAAAACAAUAAUGGUAAACUUAAAUACCAACAUGCAUGCAAAGACGCUCAAUCGAGGAGAAACAUUACAACUACUUAAAUGAAUCUGUAAACUAAUAAAUCGAAGCUCAUUGAUGAUAUAUCAUUUAAGUAAAGACAUUUCCCAGAAACUAAAUCAUAUCCAGAAAUUCAAGAAAAAGAAAAAACCCAAAUUCGAAAACUUUACAGAUUCAAUAGAUUGAAUUCAAAUUUGAUAAAUCUAGAGUAAACCCAGAUUGGAUCGAAACGUUUUUCACUUACUAAAAAAAAUCUAAAGAUUGAAACUUUGGUUCACUAACCAGCCAAUGCCAACCACCAAGACCGACAGCUUUUUUGACAACACCUUGAAGACCAACAAGCACCGAUUUGGUUCGGUUGUUUCCGGUCACCACCACUUUAGUAUGACGUGGCAGAACAGUUAACUCCUCUUCGCUGCUGCUGUCUCCGCAAAAGCUCUUUACUUGACGAAAUCCUCCAUUAACGACUCCCGAGCUAUCCACAGUCUCCAGCAUUCUUCUUGUCUAAUUAGAUUAAGUCUCAGGGGAAAACAAAGAUUCUGAAUUUCAGCUCUCCACACUGCUACAAGAUCGAAGAUCAUGCAUUGCCAGAGAGUGAAAGUUAGAUGAUCUCCAAGGAGAUAUUGAAAAUGUAAAAAAAUUAUUAGGGUUGUUCCACAAGAAGAAGCAGAGAGAGAGAGAGAGAGAGAGAAACAGAGUAAAGAGGAGGAGGAAGCGAGGGAAAUAGAAGAGAGAGAGAGGGUGAUGAUAGCGACCGGCUCCGAACACGUUGACCAAUUAAAACUCGCCACGUAAGCAUUGUACUGACACUAUAUGCGUUAUGCAGAAACAGAACCGGUUUUUUCAAAAAAAUUCUUUGGAUUUUUUUAACCGAAGGUUACUUUUCGUAAUUUUAGACACGCGAUUGACCUGAAUGGUUGACUGGUGUUUAAUAAAGACAGGCAUGAAUGGGACCCAUUUCGUUGUAAAUUACGCUUGUAUCCUUCUUCAUGUCACUUUUUUCCUUUGUUUGAAUUUUAGUUUGCCUCUGUCCUUAUCUAUAAGUUUUCUCUUUUAGUAUAAUGGUUCUCUCUUUGGUAGAAUUUUUUUCUUUUUUAAUGUUUUUUUUUGGUUGUUGUAAAACUAUGUUCUGUAAUCAGAAAAAAUAAAAGAAUCCAAGGAAACAAUUGCUGGUUUAGAAUAUAUAUCAGUGAAAUUAAUGGAACACAUGCAUCAAAAUAAGCAGUUUACAAUAAUUAUAAACUCAUUUAAUGACUAAAAACCUUUAUUAAAUGAUAACUCUGUUUUAUUUCAAGAAGUAGAAUGGUUUGUAAAAUUAUAAAUCAAUACGACUCUUUAAAUAUCAUGGUGUUGUUAAGAAAAAUAAUACAACGGAUACAUGUUUCAAAAAAUAGAUUGGUCCUAUGCCAUUUUAAUUUUUUUUAAAAUUAGUGACAAAAUUUUUAAAAUCAAACCUUUAAUAUGUAAAAACUAAAAAUUUAGGACCCUAAAUAAUAAAUAAUUUUUGGCUAAAAAUGUGGGACUUUGUGCAUAUGCACUCUUUGCACUCCCCUUGAAUUAUUACUGUAUGAAUAUAAAAACGAAAUUUAAUAUUAUAAUUAGAAAAUCUCAAACCAAGUAAUACAACAAAUCAUAACAGUAUUAAUAUCUAAUAAUUUUUAAACAUUAGCAAUGCGGAGGAAAAAUAUUAACAUCUAAUAGUUUUAAAACUUUUAAAGCAAUUAAGUAACAAAUGUAAUUAUUUGUUGACUGAAUUUUGCAGAAAAUAAUUUCUUUACUUUUUUCUUAUAAUUGUUUUAUUUAGUUUGAUUAUGGAAGAUUAAUUGAAAACCUGUUGAUAGUGAUGUUACGAAAGGUCCUUAAACCAAAUCAGCAGCCAUCAAGCUAUGUUUUUGUGCGUAUGAAUUAAUUUAUUACUAAUUUAAAAAGAGAAAUGGUUUUUUUACUUUUUACUAUGUAAAAUUACACAGCUUUAAAUCAAUUAUUUGUCCAUAACUUUUACGGGGUCACUGAUUGUCAUAGUCACAGUUUACAAAGGCCACCCCCACAAAUAAAACAAACCGUCCCCAUAUUUGGGGAAACUAUCAAAGCGACCCCUCACCAAACCCUUGCUUCAAUUAUUCACAGCUUUUAAUGCUUACCAUCUCCCUCCCUCCUUCCCUCCCAUCAAAAAAUCAAAUUCUUAAAACAUAAAAAGCUAUAAAUAAACCUAGGGACCAAAAUGGGCCUUUUGCUUGUUUGAAUUAAAUGAACACAAUCUGUUAGUUCACCGGCAAUCUUUUGAAGGAUUAAAUGUAAACAUUCAAAAGCCCAGGGUUAAUUAUGACCAGUUGUAAAAACUCAAGGGGCUUAUAAGAAAAGUGUAUAAAAGUAUCGUUCUUGGAGGGUUUUGUUUGAAGCAGAAGAAGAGAGUUAAACAGCCGUUAAUGGCGAAACCUGAUCAGCUAGCUCGCUUCCUUGAUUCAGGUAUCUACGAAUCCGAAGAUUCUAAAUGGUUCUUCUUAGACCCAGUUCGUAUAAUCAACCGUUCGUACACUCGAUAUAGGGUUUCACCUUGUGCUUACUACUCUCGUUGCUUCAACUCAAAGCAUCUCAAUCCACAACAACCAAACGAACCUCCUAAUACGAGAAAGCGUAAACGGAAUAAGCAGAAAAACCCUAGCUUUCACCUUCCUAACACAGCAGAGCAAGCUUCUAAUCUCCGCCAUCAGGAGGCGAGGCUGUUUUUAUCGGAAGCGUAUGAAUCGCUUUUGGAGGAAACCGAGUUGUUAAGUUUAGUAAAGAGUCUAAGUGAUGAUGAUGGUUUGUUGAGGACCAAGUGUUGUGAGGAUGAAGUCUCUUUUGUUGAGCUUGGAGGAGUGUGGCAAGCUCCUCUGUACGAGAUAACACUGAGUUGUGACGAUAACAAAGGUUUUGUCUUCCUCUAUAUCUUUAUCUGAAAAACAAUGAAUUUGAUAAUGUGGUCUUAAUUGGUUGCUGCUCAAUAGAGAAGUGCAGUGAAGAGAGAGUGUUUAAGGUGUUCAAUAAUCUAGUAGUGAACGAGACAGAAGAAGACAUUGAUGCUGAGUUUUCCAACAGGAGAUAUAUAAUGCCUAGAAAGAGCUGCUUCUACAUGGUUUGUGCUAAUUUAUGAUUGCUCUCUAAAGAUUGAAUUUUUAUUUGACUAAGCUGAUGUGUGAUAUGGUUCUUCUCGUGUUUUCAUGUUGCCUUGAAGUCUGAUUUACUGCACCUCCGAAACCUUGUUCCUGGUAACUAUUGUGAUUUAUUGCUGCUUUAGAGUAAAGUCCCUUGUAGAACGAUCAGUCAUGACCAUAUCAGUAGGCGACUUUGAGCCUAGUUAUGUAUUUAUCUUAUUGACGUUAUAUGUGCAGCUAAAUAUGAAGAAGGCUUCAAUCUUAUAGUUAUUGAUCCGCCCUGGGAGAAUGCAAGCGCUCAUCAGAAGUCAAAGUUUGUUCUUCCUGCCUCUGUUAUAUAAUAUGUUAAUAUCGACUUGAGGAAUAGAUUGUUUAUUGUAUUUGAAUGAGAGUUCAUGAGACAUGUUUUUUUUUUUGGGUCUUGUUUUAGGUAUCCGACUUUACCAAACAGAUACUUCUUAUCCCUCCCAGUCAAACAGCUUACUCAUGCUGAAGGAGCUCUUGUGGCUUUAUGGGUGACCAAUAGAGAGAAAUUACUUAACUUUGUUGAGAAAGAGCUAUUCCCUGCGUGGGGAGUUAAGUACGCAGCUACUAUGUAUUGGUUAAAGGUUGAUCCCAACUUGCACCUCUUGAUUUCUGAGUUUGGGUACAUGAUUUGAACUUUUCUCACGUUGUCUAUGUAAAAAUGUUAUAGGUGAAACCAGACGGUACAAUGAUUUGCGAUCUGGACCUGGUCCAUCAUAAACCUUAUGAAUAUCUAAUACUAGGCUACCGCUUUACCGAGGUAAGUUUGUCAAUUAUUGUCUUUGUUACUUGGAUAAUCUGCAAACUGAGCUUCUGUUUCUAUGUUACAGCUUGCAGAAUCAAAACACAGGUCAGAUUUUGAACUCUUGGAUAAGAACAAAAUAAUCAUAAGCAUCCCUGGAGAUUUUUCGAGGAAACCCCCAAUUGGAGGUAUAUUUCUACAUCUUUGUUUUACAAUCUUCAUCAAAUUCCAGAGCUUAAUGCAGUUUAUUAAAUUUUAGCUGUACAAGUUCCCUGAUUCUCCUUUUCACUUGGACUUUUGUGUAGAGAUACUAAAGAAACAUGUUCCCGGGUCUCAACCAGCUCGGUGUCUUGAGCUAUUUGCUAGAGAAAUGGCAGCUGGAUGGACCUCUUGGGGAAACGAACCGCUUCACUUCCAAGACUCGAGAUACUUCUUGAAAGAUUAAUGGGUGCAUUAACAAACAUUUUUUAACCAGAAGAAGCGUGGCUUGGGCCAAUUUUCAUUGUGGGGAUACAGUGAGGAGACCUUCGGCUAGCGCUAGAAGGUCUUGCCGACCGUUAAAAUAAAGACGAAGCCUGAAAGAGCUACAGUUAGAUUAUUGUCUGAAAGAGUCAGAACUGUACCAUCAUUUUUCUUUUGACAUCAUUGUUACCAUCAAUUUAGUAAAGCUAAUUUUUUCUCCUGUCACGGCAGAUGUUUCAGAGAAAAAUAAGAUAUCAUCAGUAGAGUAAGAUCACAUACUGUAUUAAUAUCACAAUUUAUUAGAAUUUCAAUUCUUUUUAAAAUAUACACCAUGAAUAACUAAAAGCAAAAGCGUGUAAAAUGAAUUCAAUAAAUGUCUACUCGUUGGAAGAUCAUAUCUGCUUUGAUGGGUCAAUGUGUGGGGCAAAUCCACUAUCCCAUUUUCCUAUUAUGUUCAAUGAACUAUACAGUUUUUUUUAAAACAUGAAAAUUAAAGAAAAUCAAGACCAAUGAAUGGAAGGGCCACAACAAUAAUUCCAAGUAUAGUUGAUUGUCACAGCAAUCAAAUAAUAUGCUUACAAAUAUCAACGAUAUAAUAAUCCAACCAUAAACGGUUUCAAGUUUGUCUUUGUAAAUCAAAUAUUAAACCUGACAUUAGCUUAUGAUAUGGUAAAUAUAGAUUAGAGAACGUGAGUCUUAUUAGGAUGAAACACAAUACAAUAUAUAAGUGUAGAGAGCUCUCUAUGUCUAGGUUAAUAUGAUUUACAUAAGUAUCCUUUCCAUAUAUAUAUCUAUCCUUGAUACGCCCCCUCAAGAUGGAGGAACUCUUGUUACUCCAAUCUUGGACGUGGCUUGAAGGAAUUGUUGUCUGCUCAAUGGCUUUGUGAACGCAUCUGCCAAUUGAUCCUUUGUUGAGACGUGUGCUACGCGAACAAUCCCAAGCUGAAUCAUGUUCCGGAUAAAGUGAUAAUCAAUAGCAAUGUGUUUCAUCCUUGAGUGAAACACCGGAUUAGCACAGAGAUAUGUAGCACCAACAUUAUCACAAUAGAUGACUGGAGAGACAGAUAAUUUGAUACCAAGUUCUUGAAGUAGCGAGCAUAACCAUCGAACUUCAGAUGCAGUGUUCGCAACUGCUCUGUAUUCUGCUUCGGUAGAUGAUCGAGCAACUCCAUUCUGCUUCUUGGAGGACCAUGAAACCGGCGUAGACCCAAGAUAGAUGACAUAUGCAUUGGUGGAUACAUAAUCAUCACUGUCACCUGCCCAAUCUGCAUCCGUGAAAGCAUGGAGAGUUAGCGGCGAGCCUUUCUUCAUGUAGAUGCCAUGGCUUGGAGUCCCUGCCAAAUAUCUCAAUACACGCUUAGCUGCUUGCCAGUGACACUCGGUCGGUUGAUGCAUAAACUGGGAUAAUCUGUUGACUGCAUAGGAAAUGUCCGGCCUUGUGAACGCCAGAUAUUGUAAACUUCCAACAAUAGACCGAUACUGAGACGCAUCAGACAGAGGAGGACUGUCCUUCAAAGUUAACUUUGGGGUAGUCUGCAUUGGAGUAGAGACUGUCUUGGCAUCCAACAUGUUAGUGCGACCAAGCAAGUCAAGAAUAUACCUCCGCUGCAUAAGAUGAAGACCUGUAGCAGACCGUGUGACCUCGAUGCCCAAGAAGUAAUGCAAAUCCACUGGAUCUUUUAUAGAAAACCGAGAUGCAAGAGAAUUCAAAACCUCAGAGACACGCUGUUGACUACUACCUGUCACAAUUAUAUCAUCCACAUAUACAAGUAUAUAUGUAUGAUGAUCACCAGUGUGAUGAAUAAACAGUGACGUAUCAGCCAUAGAACUUUGAAAUCCAAUAUCUAGCAGAUGCUUCUUCAACGACAGAUACCAUGCCCGUGGUGCCUGUUUCAGACCAUAAAUUGGUUUCUUCAACUUACAUACAUGGUGUGGUCGAUCAAUAUCAACAAACCCCGGUGGCUGAGUCAUGUAAACUUCCUCCUGCAACUAGCCUUGUAGAAAUGCGUUGUUGACAUCUAGUUGUUUAAGCGGCCAUCCUUGAGUGACUGCAAUAUCCAACACCAAACGAAUCGUAGUCGACUUAAUGACUGGGCUAAAAGUCUCACUGUAGUCGACGCCAUACUGUUGUGUGUGACCACGCGCUACUAAACGAGCUUUAGGUCUGUCCUCCUCACCAUUGGCUAAGUACUUUGUUGUGUAUAUCCACCGGCAAGUGACCAAGUUCUGAGACGGAUGAGACUGUACCAAAUCCCAUGUUCCGUACUCAAUCUGCGCAUCAUACUCCUUUGACAUUGCCUUCCUCCAGCGUUCAUCUUUGAGAGCUUGAGCUACAGUACGUGGCUCCCGAGUAGACUGUUUCCCAGAGACAAUGAGACUGAAUUUAGAGUUUGGUUUCACAAUCCUGUUCUUUGCUCUUGUCUGCAUCUGAUGUUGGUUCUGUGGGGGUUGAUUCUGUUCGUCGUCAGGAUUUUGUGGGUUAAGGGAAGUUUGGUCAUUUUGCGGUGACUGAAUUUGUGGUUCAUUGGCUGGAGAGACACGAGUCGGAGAGUGUGGUGGUGAUGAAGUUGGAUGUGGAGAAUCAUGGGUUUCAUUUAUUUGGUGAGUGGGCUGGGCCGUGGGUUGCGGCCCAUUUUGAUUUGGAGCAGUGGGCUCAGAGUUGGGGGGGGAAGAGAGAGAUCGAGAGUCAGAGGAAGGAGACGAUACCUGAGCUUGUUGGAACGGCGACUGUGGCAAUGCGGGGUGAGAAUCCGAACACGGGGAUGAAGAUUGUUGUCGGGAGGACGAGGUCUGAAGAGGCACACGUAUAAUAGGAGGUUGGUAAGGCCCAUCUGAGGUUCCUUCUUCAGACGUGGAGCUUGGAAUACCAGUGGAGCUAUAUGUUGCAAAGGGGAAGACAGACUCUUGGAACGCAACAUGUCUGGAGGUGUAGAGCCGCAUCGUGGGCAAGUGCAGACAGAAGUAAGCACUCUGAGUUGUCGAAUAGCCCAGAAACACACACGGCUUCGAUCGAUCUUCCAUCUUAUUUUGAGUAUACGGACGCAGCCACGGAAAGCACUGACAACCAAAUACUCGAAGACGGUUAUAGUUAGGAGCUUUGUUGAACAGCUUCUGAUAUGGCGAUUGCAAAUCAAGGUUCGGAGUAGGCAUUCUGUUAAUCAAAUAGAUGGCAGCCGCAAAAGCGAAUGUCCAAUACUCCUUAGGCAUCAUUGCCUGAGUCAUUAACGUGAGGCCUGUCUCGACGACAUGUCUGUGUUUCCGUUCUGCCACACCGUUGUGCUCCGGCGUAUGCGGCGGUGAAGUGAGAUGAGAGAUACCAUGUUCCUGAAGGUACGCUUUCAAUGCCAGAAACUCCCCUCCAUUAUCAGAAAAUAAAGUUCCAAUUUUGUGCUGAAACCUGUUCUCAACUAGUUUCUUGUAGGCUACAAAGACCUCUUUGACUUGGGAUUUUAAUUUGAUAGGGUAAAGCCAUGUAUAUCUGGUAUAAUGAUCAACAAGAAUGAGGUAGUAUUUAAACUGAUCUGUUGAGAGAAUAGGAGAUGACCAUACGUCAGAAAAGAUAAUCUCAAGAGCUCUUGUUGAAGUUAUACUAGAAGAAGAAAAUGAAAGUUUAUGGCUUUUAUUAAUCAAACAAUCUGAGCAAGACAAAAAUUUCUGAGAAAGCUGAGAAACAGGAAAAGAAAACUGAGAAAUUGUUUUGUUUAGAAUAGAGAUAGAUGGAUGUCCCAAGCGGGAAUGCCAAGAGGAUAAUGUAGCCUUAGAAGAUGGUGAAGCAAACAUAGCCGUAGGUACUGAGAUUCCUAUCGGCCAUUGAUAUAGUUGAGCCUUAGUUUUGCCUUGGAUUAACCGGGUCCCCGUGUUCAGAUCCUUCACCUGAAAUGAGGAAGGAAAGAAUUCCACAGAUACUUGAUUAGUAUUACACAAACCAUAAACUGAGAUGAGGUUCUUGUUAAUCUUAGGAACACACAAAACAUCACUUAGUACGAUAUUUUUAUUUUGAGAGGGAAGCGUAAGAGAACCCGUGUGUGUUAUAGACUGAUUUGAACCAUCGGCAAUGAUGACAGCCUCACCUCCUUCAUAUGGUUGAUGUAGUUGCAGGUUCUGCAGGUCUGAAGUGAUGUGAUGUGUUGCCCCACUAUCAAGUAACCAGUUGUUAGCAGUGUACGGAUUUGCGGUGGCGACAUUAGCCCUCGGUUGACCCUGCCAUGGCAUGAAAGGAGACUGAGCAGCUGCUUGGUAUGUCUGAAGCUGAGGACAUCGUUUUGCCCCAUGGCCUUGAGUUCCACAGAUCUGACAUUUGCCAAGGUAUGGUCUUGAUGCACGAGGUUGCUGCUGCCAAUUGAAGUUGUUGGACUGUGGCCUCUGCUGAUUGUUGUAGUAGUUGUUGUGGUUCUUGUUCUUGUUUUGAUAAGAACCUUGACCUUUCUGUUGCACCAUAUUCGCAGAAACAGGAAUGAUGGACGAGCCAGCUGUAGAGGCGAGUUUGGCCUCAUGGUGCAGCAGCUUCUCAUGUAUCUCAGUGAGAGUUGGAGGUGUCUCACGACCUUCAAUCUGAUCAAUAACAGGAUUGUAUUCAUCAGGUAAGCCCUCAAGGAGUGCAUCAAUUUGAUCUUCAUGAUCCAUAGGUUUUCCGAGAAUAGCUAGUUGAUCCACGCGUGUAGUGAUGCCUUGAACAAAGACAUCAAUCGUCUUGCUUUCUUUCUUCCACAGCUUGAGUUGAUUCCUCAAAUUUUUGAUGUGGGCACGACUUGGUUUAGCGUAGGUGGAUGCUAGAGUCUCCCAAACUUGAGCAGCCGUGAGUGCUCUUGACACCAACGGUUGAAUCGGGAGAGUGAUUGCACCUAGCAAGGCACUGUAGAUCAAUCGAUCUUGCCUUUUCCAGAUCGUGUAGUCUGGAUUGGGGUUGGUUUCACCAUCAACAGUGACUUCAGGCGGCGGUGUCACAGUUGAUCCAUCAAGAUGACCGAUAAGGCCAUAACCAUCGAUCAAAGCGUGGACUUGAAGACUCCACAUGAGGUAGUUUGUGGUCGAGAGUUUUGAAACAUUUGACAUGUUUAUGUUGAGAAUGGUUUGAUUGCUUGGGUUGGUGUUUAUGGUUUCGGUGAAUGUUGUAGAAUUGUUAGGAGACGCCAUGAUAGAUGAGAAAAGAAGUUAGAAUUUUUGGAGAAGAGAGUUUUAGGUUUUUAGAAGCGACGGCUCUGAUACCAUAUAGAUUAGAGAACGUGAGUCUUAUUAGGAUGAAACACAAUACAAUAUAUAAGUGUAGAGAGCUCUCUAUGUCUAGGUUAAUAUGAUUUACAUAAGUAUCCUUUCCAUAUAUAUAUCUAUCCUUGAUAGUAAAUACGUUUGUACAAAAUCAGAGAUUAGCUUAUGAUAAGCAAAUGUGGAACUAUAUAUAUGGAGGUGGCUUUCCAAAUUUUAUAAAUAUACUCCAUAACUACAUAAGGGUUUAGUGUAAAGAUGGCAGCUUAAUCAUCUAUCGGAAUCCAAUUUGCAUAUUUUGUUUUCACAAUAUUAUCAAUUAAAAUUUUUAAAAUUUUGUGAGAAAGCAAACAAAGUAAAAAGAAAAAGAUAGCAAUCAUUAGAUAGCACAUGAUAAUAUUUACAUACAGCACUAAUCAGGACAAAAGUGAGCAUUUCUUUUGUUUUUGUUUCACACUAUAGGCUCUAUAGUGACAAUUAAUUUCUAAUUAAAAUAAAAAAUCACUAAAUAUUAUGAGGCUUAAAUUAAUUUGUUUUCUAUCGUGAGAUAGAUACAAGAAAAAAAAGUUUCCCAUUUGCAGAGAGAAAAGGAAGAGAGAUACAGCCGCCCCUGCUCCUCCCUACAAGUCAAGACCUGUAUCUUUUCCGGUGACCGGCGCGUGGCGGCUCUGUUAGCGCCACCGCCGGUCAAAUCCUUCAUAGUUUCUCGUCCUUUAGGUGUUGUUCUUUUCUGUGUUUAGAUCUGUCCAGUUUUCGGGUUGAUUGUCUUGAGAGCUCGUGGCUUGGAAUGGUUUGUCAGAUUUUCCGUGAGUCCCGUUGUAUGCUGAAGCCAUUGUUCUUUAUUUUGUUUAUGCGGCUAUGGCCGUGGUUGGUUUUGGCUGCACAUGGUUUCGUCUAGAUCUAGAACAAACCCUUCACUGGUUUGCGUGUCCGUUCAAGUUUGUCUUACCCAAAUCUCUUCUUUCGUGUCCAAGGAGUUUGGUGUAGUGAGUUUCACAGCUCGGUCUAUCUAGUGGAAUGGUGUUGUUGGUUUAUUCUUUAUAGGGAGGUUCGUGGCUUUACUAGUGGGUUCCUAAGCUUGCAAUUUUUCGGUUCCUUGGUAGUGAUUUGAACGCUAUCCUGUCCUUUGUUGCCGCUUUCUUUCUGUUUCGGUGGGUUUUGGCGGGUUUAGACUUCGUUGGUCUCCAGAUCUGUUGAGAUUGGAGUGGUCUUUGUAGGGCUUUUAUUGAGGCGUUGUUUGGUCGCAUGAAGUGCGUCACCGCCGUAUCCGGAAGUGUGCGUGACCCUAGAGUGGUUCUAUCUUGCCGGGUUAUAAAGUCUGGGUUCUUUGGUUUAGAGAGGAGUGCUCUCUGUUGGUAGAAGUUGAUGUUAUCGUUCGGUGGGCCGUGGGCGACAACGAUAAAUCUCGUUCAGAGUUCAGAAGUGUUUGGAUGUAUCGAGAUGUUGCAAGCUGAAGGUGUUAGUUCCUCUAUGAGGUUUUGAAUUUCCUUAUUUUGGAUUUGUAUUGUAAGCUACCCCGAUGUGGGUUUCAGUCGCCUGUUUCUUAGGCUCUUGUUGCUGGGGAUUUCUUGUUUUUCCGCCAGUUUAGGUAUCAAACAUUGUAAUCGUUGCUUCGAAUGAAUUUUAUCAGACGGAAAAAAAAAAAAUUAAUUUGUUUUCUAUUAACAUGUCCCAGAAACCAAUCAGGUGGGGUGUUCCACGGUCAUACUAUCAAGGGACCCAUUUCAAUUAACCGGACCCCACAUGUCUCUCCUCUCUUCUCUUUAUAAUCUGGUCAUUUUACACAGAUCGAGAGAAACACACAUAAACGUACUGCUUCAGCUGAUUCACUGCGCAAAACCACACCGUAAGUUACGUACGCCACAGGUAAUUUCACCAUUCGUCAAAAACUAGAUAGACACGUGGCCAAUUUACGUCAAAACACAAUCAUCCAGUUUUUUGCUUUUUUUAAUUUAUUUAAUAAUGGGAAAGAUUCUUUGCAUCAUUCCAGCGAAGAGAGAAAAAGCGGCUUCCUCGUGAGCACUAACUCCUCUCCCUCUUUCCGAAGGUGGUUGAGAGAAGAAGAUGACGUCUGACGGUGCGACGUCGACGUCAGCAGCAGCAGCAGCAGCGUUGGCGACGAGGAGGAAGCCGUCGUGGAGAGAGAGGGAGAACAACAGGAGGAGGGAGAGGAGGAGAAGAGCCGUAGCUGCGAAGAUCUAUAACGGUCUUCGAGCUCAAGGUAACUACAAUCUCCCAAAGCACUGCGACAACAACGAAGUCCUCAAGGCUCUUUGUUCCGAAGCUGGUUGGGUGGUUGAAGAAGACGGAACCACUUAUCGCAAGGUAUACCUAUUAGAUCUGACCUUAUAUAUAUGUCUGAAAGUUUCUAAAAAUGGAUCUAGUUACUAUAUUUAGAUCUCUUCAUUGGUUAAAUUUUCUUUGACCGUCAGGGACAUAAGCCUCUUCCUGGUGAUAUGGCUGGAUCAUCCUCUCGAGCCACUCCUUACUCCUCUUCUUAUAACCAAAGUCCUUUCGAGAGUCCCAUCCUUUCUUACCAAGUCAGUCCAUCGUCGUCUUCAUUCCCUAGCCCUUCUCGUGGCGACAACAUCUCCACCAUCUUCCCUUUCCUCAGGAACGGGGGGAUCCCUUCGUCGCUUCCUCCUCUCAGAAUCUCAAACAGUGCUCCCGUCACUCCACCUGUCUCUUCACCAACCUCUAAGCACCCCAAGCCGUUACCUACUUGGGAGUCUUUUACCAAACAGUCCAUGGCCAUUGCUGCUAAACAGUCAAUGUCUUCUUUUAACUACCCGUUCUACGCGGUAUCUGCGCCUGCGAGUCCCACUCAUCAUCGCCAGUUCAAUGCUCCGGCUACUAUACCUGAAUGUGAUGAGUCUGACGCCUCAACUGUUGAUUCUGGUCAUUGGAUAAGCUUUCAGAAGUUCUCACAACAGCAACAGCCUUUCCAUGGGGUGUCGUCUGCAGUGCCGGCUUCUCCUACUUUCAACCUAGUGAAACCACCAGUGCCUCAGCGGCUAUCUCCAAACACUGCGGGAAUCCAAGAGAUUGGUCAAAGCUCGGAGUUUAAAUUUGAGAACAGGCAAGUUACGCCGUGGGAAGGGGAGAGGAUCCAUGAUGUGGCUAUGGAGGAUCUGGAGCUCACACUUGGAAACACCAAAGGUCGUUAGUUGAUAUAUGAAGAACAAAAGGACCUGUUGUGGCAUGUUGGAGUGUUAGUGUGUUGUUCAGUUCUUGGUUCUGGUUCUUGUACUAGAAUCGAUAUUCAUAGUACCAGUAAGAGUUUGUUUCACAUUGCAUUAUUUUGUAGAUAGACUGUGUAAGGUGUUAUGUUUCUAUUAUGUAUCAUUCCUUUUAGAGUCUUGUAAGACAUUACAAAUAUUUUAAUAUGAUUUGGCUUGAAUUUGAGACAUAGCUAAGGAUGAAACAGAGAGAACAAUGUGGAAGAAAAAGGAUUCAUCAUGUAAAAAGAACAGAGUUGUAAAGAAAAAAGACUUGAGAUUUUAGUCAUAAGUUACACAAAAUUCAUAAUACAAAAAAAGAAGGCAGAUGACAUGAAGCAUUAAACAUGAAAACUAUAAAGGAAAAGUAAAAUUAGAAUCACGAAACGUCAAGAAACUGUGAAACUUUUGAGCCUACCCCUGCUUUUUCAGGUGAAUGAAUCAUUCAGAACCAUCAGGGAAGCUAUCAAGUGCGUCUUGCUUACCGUUUACAUAGAACUCAACGACAGCUUGCAUUCUAUUAAGCUUAUCUGGAUGGUAAUUCACAUGAACAAUCACCGGCUUCACCUUCUUCUUCAGUUCCUGAUCCUUCCUAACAGUCUUGAAAAGCACCUUACUGUUCAUAAACUCAUACAUAUCCAUGACUCUCUUCGAAGCAUGGAGCCCAAUGUAGUCAGGAUGCGAAGGAUAAAACAACUCCUCAUUAAAAACCGCUUGGUCCCAUAGUUUAGCCUUGGAGAGCCUAUCCGCUACACGAUCCAGCAGCUCGAUGGAUGGAACCGUUGGUCUUAGAUAGAAAAACCCGGAAUUGAAAACCCAUAUCCUCAUGGUGUGAGCAUACCGAGCCCAUCCCAUGGCUGGCUCAUCAAACACAUCGUUGAAUCCGUAAGCCGUCAUGUUGCUAUGCCCAUCGCUCAUCGACUCAACGUCAGAGUCUCUGUACAGAUGCCUAAACGGGUUCUGCAAGAAGACAAUGUCCACAUCCGAGAGGAGAACGCCGUACCCGAGCUGCAAGAACUCUCUCAACACACGGAACUUAAGUCCAGAGACAGCGUGGUUACCUCCGGUUUUCCCGACCGUGUCCACGUCCUUGUCCGGAUCCCUCUUGUAAUAAGCAACAUCGUUUGAUUUACAGAAGUUCUCAAUGUAAUCGUCCAACGCAACGACAAGGUAGUUAGUGAUACCCAAUCUCUUCACGCUAGCGAUCUGAACCUCUAGCAUUGCUUUGACGUUAGAGUUUGCGAGAGCCACGAUCACCUCUUUGUCGACAGCGAUGUCCUCUAGAAUCUUAGCUAGUCUCGGGUUUACGGAUUCAUCGGGGAGGAUGGUUGGAUUAGUUCUCAAACUCUUGACUGUUCCGAAAGGACCAGCCUUGAUCUGUGGUCCUAAAGACAGAACUUGUUUUCUUGCAUUGUCUGAUCCUUGCUCAGCUAAACGCAGCUUCUCCGUUAGCUCCCUGAUCUGUUUCUUCAGCUCAGCGUUCUUCUCAGAGAGAGAUGCGAAGUCUGAUUUCAGCAUCUUGAUCCGUGCGGGGGAUUCACAAGAAGAUGAUCCAACCUGAAACAAAGAAAGUAAUGAACUUUCACCAAGUCAACUACAACCUCAAACUAAUCUCUAACAAACACAACAUCAAGAGAAAAGUUUUCAUUUUUAUUACACAACACAUUGCAACUUAAGACCUAUAAUGGGUGAGACUAGCGCAGGGGAUUCUCAAUUCAGGUCAAAUCAAUCUAUGUAACUUGUUCUAUACGUUUUAGGGCGCAAGAUCGAGUACCUGGACGCGUUCAUUAACUGUAAGAGACGAGCUCGAGUUGAAGAAGCCGUUGGGGAACAGAACGGCGCAAACGCAGCCGAUGAUGAUACCGAUGAGGAUGGCGAUCGCGAUUCGAGAUCCACGGAGCUGUUGGGUUCUGUCUCUACGACCAGCCAUGGCCGUUGACUUUCUCUGAUCCGGAGACGCAGAAGCUAAACUGAAUGACGUGACUCCUUCUCUGAUUUACCCAAACGAGAAAAGUUUGGAACAGUGUGCAGCUGGAUCAGAGAAUUUUUCAGACAAAGCCCUAGAAAAUGUGGUUGUUUUCUUUCGGUGGGGUUUGAAGUUGUUGAGAGAAGAAGAGAGAGCUUGAUUGGCCUGUUCUGCGUAGACAACGACGACGACGAUGAAUCAGAGGCUGCUAAGUAGUGUUCCUCUACUUCACGGUGUAGAUUUAUUUCUCAAGUUUCAAAUGAAGGCUGGACCGUUCGAUGAGAUGACUUGAUACAUCUGACGGUCAACAUAAGCAAAAUAUAAAACCUGUAAGUGGUAAUUAAUUUUAUGAAUAUUAUGAAUGAAUGAAAUUAAAAAAAAACAGGAUGCAAAUGAAUGGAAUAAAGAAAGUCAUAGAAUUAUAAAGAAAAAAAAGAAUUUCAUUCCAUCUUAUUGCAUUUUAUUUAUGAGCUUUUUAGUCAUAAAUGUUUUAUGACUAUUUCAUUUUAUUCUAUAUGAAUCAUUAGAAUGAGAUUUGUCUUUUUAUUCCAUUUAAAUGGUAGUGUUUUUUUUUUUUGAAAUCUAGGGGAAUAAAUCCAUUCUUUACAAUUCUAUUCUAAAAAUUAGUACUCCCUCCGUUUUUUAAUAUAAGUCGUUUUACAGCUAUGCACGUAGAUUAAGAAAACUAUUAAUUUCUUAUAUUUUCUAAACAAAAAUAUCAUUAAUUAUUUACAUAACCACAAUUCAACCAAUAGAAAAAUAGAAGAUAUAUUACCAUUGGUCGUACAACAUUAAUUAUUAAUAAAUUUUACAUAGAAAAACGAAAACGACAUAUAAUUUGGAACAAAAAAAUUUGUCUAAAACGACCUAUAUUAAAAAACGGAGGGAGUAAUUCUCUUGUACCUAAAGAAAGAUUUGAGAGAGAUAGAAAAAAAAAGCCUAAAUAACUCCUCACAUCUAUAAUCCACUUGCUAGCACGAUCACACAUGAUAGACCAAACACUCAACGUGAUUGAGAUUAGCGUAAGCUGUCAUGCCUUGAAUCGCAUCUUUACUACCAAACGUCUAUCUUAGUGAUCAAGAACGUGGUUUCAGCUGAAAUUUUGGGUUGUGUGCAUCACUUUGCAAAGAAUUUAACAUUAUUCAAACAUUUUGAAGAGAAUGUCUGUAAAAUUACAAAGGAAGGAAUAACAAAAAGCUUUGAGAAUUACAAAGUGUAUUUUCUUUCUUACACGUCAAAAUUCAAAUGCAAAAAGUCACAGAGAUUCUUUUUAACUCUCGUCGUCCAUAACUUUGUUGUUACCAUACAAACUAUCUCUUCUAUUACCAAACCCGCUUGAAUCAAGCCCCGACCCGCCUCGAUAGUUGUUAUGAUCCUGUGCCGUUGUUCUAUACCCUCCUCCAUCCACCGGAGCUCUCGAACUCUGGUCGUUACGAUACGGCGACGCACCAACGUACCUUCUCCUUAGAUCCAUGAGGUCAUCGCUUCUUCUAGCAGGCUCAGUAAAACUCGGCUCUUUCGCCGAGCUGUUCUGUCCCGCAGCCGUCGGAGUAAAAGGAUCAUCUGGUCCCCAAGCCGUGAGAGAUUCUUUCUUCUUGGCGAAAAAAUGCCAAGCUCCGAAGAGAAACAGUAUGAAGAAGAACACAGGACUGCUCCAAAGCAUUGUGUUGAACUCUCCUUUGAGACUCGGAAGCUUCGACUUGUAAACACCGAAGUACCCGUCUCCUAAACCCAUCACAAGAAGAUUCUCUCUGUCGCUAGCUAUCAAAGGCCUCGCCUUUACACCUACAUUUCUUGAAGAUGACUGACGAUGGCUCAAGAACGAGGAUCUGAUCUCUUCCAAACCAGCUGAGAACAAGAGACGAGGACCAGCGGUUCGUACGUAAUGCUGAGUCGAUACAUUAAAAGCGAAAACUUUGUCCUCGUUGAUCACAAGAAGGUAGCCUUUGAUUGAUUGUAACGCGACUGGCUCCUCCAUUUGAAACUUCUUCUUGGAUCUAACUCUGCAUUUGAAGUUCAUUAUAUCUCCGUGAAGCAGCACGUGAAUGAUCUCGCCUUCUGAGGUGAAUCCGUAAGCUUUGGACCGUUCGGUCGCGUCGAAAACGUAGCUUCUCGCAAGAGAAUGGUUUAGUCCUUCGCACUCGGUUUCUCUAAUCUUCAUGCUCCUCAAGUCCAACGAACCGGCGCCAGACUCGGUGAGGAACAACAGCCUCUGCUUCAAGAACACUAGCGGUCUACUCGUCGGGAUAACCGAACCGUAAACCGUCCGGUUCUCGGUUAAAACCGUCAGCUUCCCGCUAAGAUCCGUGGCCAAAAUGUACCUAACACGUCCCACGUGGUGCACUUCCAACAGAGUGACGGGAUCAGCGGAAUCAUCAACAUCGAAAGCCCCAACGUGUUCCAUCGAGACCGAGUUGGAGUUCCAGUCUUCUCCACUCGAUCCCUCGUGGAUCCGGUGGAACAAAACGGCGCCGUUUUGGUGACCAGUGACGAAGAAACUCGAGUUCUUAAACAUGGAAAGAUACGAAACCAUAGCUGUAACGGGCGAAUCAACGGUGGUGAAGAACUCGAUCAAAACGUCGCCGUUUCUCAAGAACACGUAAACUCUACCUCUAGAGUCCCCGAUCGCGAAGUACUUGCUCGAGCCUUCGAAGUCUUUAAACGGCAGCACGUUGACACACGUGGCGUCUGAGUCGAGCUUCACUGCCGAUGUGAAGGAGAAUCUCUCCGUCCAGAAAGGACUGUACUUAGUCACUGAGAACGCCUUGGCUCUUCCUCCUCCUCCUCCGACGAAGGCUUCAUCAUCUGAUUUAGAGAUCUCGUUCUUCGAUUCGGAUAACUUAGCGUCUAGAUUAGAGACGAUCUCGGUCAGAUUCUUGACGAGUUCCUCGAGCUUAUGCAGUAGAGCAUCUUCUCGGGUGGGUUCGGUAACCGACGCAGCUACAUCGGUGGAAGUAACGUCUUCGGUCGAAUCAACGAUAGCCGGAGACUCGUUGGCGUCCGACGGCGAGAUGAAAAGCAGAGUGAGGGUGAUUAUAAAGUAGAAGGUGAGAAAGAAGGACUUGCCGUUUCGAGGAUCUGCCAUUGGAAGUGAUGAAAAAGUGAAGUCCUUUUUCGGCGUGUCUGAAUCAGUGAGUAACCGCCAUAUAUGUAGAUCUGUAGGAGGAGAUGAUGAGUGGUUUAGGAUCUGGAAGGAGAACUGGUUGGAGUUUAACUGAGAUUUUGUUUUGGGUUUGUUUAUUAAGAAAAAUAAUUGUCCGAAAGAAGGAGACUUUUAUGUCCGAGAUUUGAUCCGGUCGUCUUCAGUCACGGUGAAGCUUGGAGCUACGAAAAGCGGAAAAGAUCUGAUACAUGUCUUUUAAGAUAUUUUUGAGACUCUUUUUUUUUGACAUCAGCAUUCAACAAUCACAAAUUUAAUUGGUUAAUUUUGUGGUUGGUUGUAUAUGUUAAUUUUGUCUUUAAGGUAUAUGACUAAAUCAGUAAUUAUUAUUAUCUUUUGGAUCAAAAAUUGAAACUACCUUCACGGAAAUCGAACUCAUAAAGUAUAUCAACGAAUGCCUGGCUUGUGAAUUGAUAGAUAGAUAGCCAUAUUAGAGAAAAGGCAUCGUAAGACGUUAUCUCUUACAGAAAUAGAAGUUAUAAAUUAAUUAAUGUAAAAACGCAUAUUCAACUGACUGUAAAACGCAUAAAUUGGUUUUUGGAUUUAAAACUUUUUUGCUUGUUUCAGGUUAAAUCAAUUUACUUCACGAACUAAACAAUAAUAUCACAGAUAUCAUUAAGUUUUUCGCCGCCGACCCUUUUACAUGGCCACAUUUAGAAAUAGAAUUAGAGAAAAGCUCACAUGCUGAUAGGCGACAAGAUCCACAGACUCUCCACGUGAAGUUUAUUGGUCACAGUGAAGCAAAGCCCUCGAUCUUUCCACAACACAUUGUCCCAAUGCUCAUACAUAGACAAUAUUCCACCCAAUCUCAUACGAGAUCUCGUAAACUUGUUUUCAAUUUAAAGACCAACCAAAAUCGAAUGUAUCAAAACGCUUUCUGUGUUCGGUCAUUGAAAAAGAGAAAUGUGAAAUGAGGAGAAAGAGGAGUGUCUGAAUAGCCGAGGAGACUGCCUACAGCCUAACCAACUCAGAGACUAUCGAUAAAGUCUGUGAUAUGGUGUUAAGACGCAGGCAAGUCAUCCUUGGCUACCACACAACUUCUCAUUCUUCAUGUCACCGUUUCUCUUUAUUUGUUUUUCCCUUUGUUGUGAAGUUGUUGAUGUGUUUACACUCUACUACUAUGUAUAUAUAUAGGCCUGACGGCAUGAACAUCUAGUGGACACAAAAUGUUUGACUCAACUUGUGUGCAUGGCGGUGUUGGAAUAUGUUCUUAAAGAUUUGGUACUGGAAUGGUCUGAUAAGUAUAACAAGUUGGCUAACCAUAAUUAAAUAUUAGAACUUUGAAGAACGUUGUUUAAGUGUUGGAGGUCUAUAUUCACAUGUGAUAUAUAGUGUUUAGAAGAACAAAAGCAAUUCAAAGUGAUAUUUUCACUAUGAUAACUAUCAAACAGUCUAGCUACCAAAAUAAUAUCAUUAUAAUAUGACGAUUGAUAAUCCAUUAUAGACACAACCACUUGAUUUUCUCAGUUUAUAACUGUGUUUAUUCAUCUAGAUAGAUGGACGACAUGUGAACGAUUUGUUAUCCUUGUCUAAGUUUAUAUUUCUUCUGCCAGACAGAGUAAACAAGCGACAUCAAUAGACAGGUCAUCAACCAAUCUAUCACUCCUCCUACGGUUGUGUUUAAGGACAUCAAUAGACAGGUCAUCAACUCCAACAACGCUCUGAGAAACAGGAAGAAAUUCAGGAACCUCAUGACUUUUUAGUUGAUUUAAUUCUUUGCUAAAUAGCUUUCGGCCUUUUGCAUCUUCAAGGGACUCCUUUGGACUCCAUUUUGUUGUUUCACUCUACCAAUUACCCUGUUUUAUUACUUUCUUUUUGCCAGGGUGUUGUUGUUGUAUAGAUUAGUCUCUUUUGUAAGAAACAAUCUCUAUCUUUUAUGAUAAUUAACAUUCUUUGCAAAAAAAAAAAUUCUUUUGUUCCUUCGUGGACCACCUUGACUUAUUCUCCAAAAUCUGUCCGUAUCAUAAAUAUGGUUAUUUUUUGUAUAUACAGACUAAUUACUGGAAUAUAUAAAAGACUUCAAACAAAAUCUGUAUACAAAUUCUACUAAAUAUGUGUGUUUAACAUAACACGGGGAUAUAGUUUUUUUUUUGUCCCAAUAAACUCGAACUAACCCAUAUCCUUCUUCCAAAAAAAAAAACUUGUUUACAUAACAGAGUUGUUGGUUAAUAUCAACAUACCCGCAUAUCACAAAUAUACUGAUGGUCGCCUCUAUGUGUGUUUUUUUCUACUCUUCUUAUUACAUAUGUUUUCUAAAUGCUUAAAUAGCAUGAAAUAUGCUUUGAAGCCUAAUCUUCUCUACCGGGUCAAUACCCUUUUUUUUCACUAGUUGACUACUAGUGUAACUGGGACCAUACAGAUAAGAACAUUUAUAAAAGUCAUGGUGGCAUAUGAAUUUGUGUAGUAAACAUGGAAUAUAUGGAGAUUUCUGUGAAUACUAGCUAUAUUGAAAUAUAAAUUAUAGUAUUAUUCUCAUUUCUAUUCAGAGCUAGCAAUAAGGAAUGUACCAUCAUGAGAGAUGUUGGGAAACGAAAGCUGUCGCCCAUAUAUAUAGGAUAUUGCUUUAUUUUCCUUUUACAAUAUUUUGGUAUGUAGGACUUGUAUGAAUGAUCUGAGAAAAGACACAUAAUCAAGAAUGUAGCUAUUAGAAUAGUAAUCACCAGUCAGCCUUGUAUAUGAAACUUAUAUUAUAUUACCAACUUAACACAUGGGACAGCUAAUCUAUAAAUUAGUGUAUUAAUAAUAUAUAUUCCAGUGUUAGUGAUAUUUGCACAAAUCGUUGGUAUGUUUAGUUAACUUAUAGAACAUUGUAUUUGUGGUUUUUAGAUUUUAUAGGCCAGGCGGCCUGCUAUACGUUUAUAUUAUCACGAAUUAUGCAGCUUUUACUUUUUGUACAGCACUGAUCGAGAUCCAGCUCAUCAAACGAUUAUAUUUGUACGCGUAAUCUGGAUGAUCAAGGCGAAGUCAAUUAGACGUAAAAGUUAUAUAGGUUGUUGCAUCUGUCUGUCUUAAAUAUCUGUGUACCAGUAAAAAUCCAACAUUCGUGGAUACGGUAUGCCUUUUAAGUUUAGAAAAAUUUAUUUUUUUCUAGAUAAGUAUGUAUUCCUAAAGGAUAAAAGAAAUCGGGUUUUAAGCCUGUUAUAAAUAUGAGUCUAAAGAUUUGUAAGAUUAUUAAUUCACACAAUAAUAAAAAACCUUAAACGUGUAUUUGUCUCAAUACGUUUUGUUCUCUAUUGUCUUCUUACUUAAUUUGUGGCUGUUCACAACAUAGGUGAAAAGCAUUUUUUUUUCUCUAUUGUCUUCUUACUUAAUUUGUGGCUGUUCACAACGUAGCUGAAAAGCAUAUAUUGUUCCUAUGAAAUAUAAUUAUCAAAAAACGAUGGUCUAAAGUAUUCCAGAAAAAAGUAAUAAAACCAAAAUGGUCGAUGAUAUACACUUGAUAUCAAUCGAAUAUUUCGUGGACUCAUUCCCGGCGUAAAUUUUACAUAUGGACGAUUCUUUAUGGAUAUGUUAUUGUUGGUUUCCACUUCCAUGCAUGUAAUAUAAUAAUAACUAGAGCUUGACCCGCGCAUCCGCGCAGGUGUUAGUUUUUUGAUAAAUGAAUAUUUAUUUGUAUAAGUGAUAAUAUAUAUUUUAAAAUUUACCCGUUUAAUUUUUUUUUAAUAUGACAUUUAUAAACACAAUAAUUUUAUAGUUUAUAUUGAGUAGUUUUAUUUUAUCAUGUAAACCCUUAAUAAUAUCAUCCAUUUAUUUAGAAUACGACCUGUAAAAUCACACAAAUGUAUUUUUAUUUUUUAUGGAUCAAAAUUUUAUGAUUAUAUAUAAUAAAAUUAUUGUAUAAACUGUUUUUAUGGAUCAAAAUUUUAUGAUUAUGUAUAAUGAAAUUGUUGUAUACUAUUUAUUAUGUAUAUGUGGAAUUAGUAAAAUAAUUACCGUAUAAUGUAUGUAAUUACGAAAUGUAUAUAUGGAAUUAAUUAUUUUCAAAUACACAUAUGUAUAAUAAAAAGGAAAAGACAAAAAAUAUUAAAAGUUAGGUUUAUUAAUUAUUGUUGCCAUGAUUUUUUAGUUAGAAUUUGAUUUUGGAAAUACAUUAAUUGAAGAGAAAAGACAAAAAUCCUAAAAGAUAGGUUAAUUAAUAACUUCAGUGGCAUGCCAUUGUAAAUAUAGUGGAAAACUAAGGGAUAAUCUAAUUUUGUACUCCUAUUUUAAUAGAUUAGAUAUUCGAACAUGGGCAUAUAUAAUCAAACAUGUUGGACUCUACAAAUUUCUAUAUCUGCCUACAUAUUUCUUAUAGAGCCAUGCAUGGAUCACAAACAAGUUACCGGUCCAAACGAAAGGCAAUCUUAUGAGAAGUAAAAUCGAAAGAAAACACCUUUACAGUGCUUGGGUUUCCGGCAAAGAGGUCAAAACACAUUUUUUUUAGACCAAAAAAAAAUCGAAAGAAAAGAAAGCACAUGAAGUUUAGAGUGCACAUAUGUACAUACAUGUAUAUAAACAAACCCAAUAUAUAUCAAUCCAUCUUUCUUGAUGAUUUUAGUUUUCUAUUGUGAGAUUGCAGUGAUGAUCAGUAGGACUUUUUUUUUUUUUGGUAAAAUAGUAGGACUGUUUUCCUUGGUUAUUUUAAUUACAUCUCUUUCUCGUUAUAUCACAUCUUAUUUGAUACGCUUGCGUUUAGACGAACUUUUUUUUUUUUGAUAAGUCGUUUAGACGAACUUUAUGUUUUGUUUGAGAUGUUUAACAAUGUGAAGCAUCUCCAAAAUAACAUUGGAGACGUGGAAUGAACUUUUGUAUGUAUAUCAAAAUUCUUUGCAUUGUACAAACAAAAACUUGUACAUACGUUGAUACUGCUAGAAUCACACCAUGAAUGGACUGAGACUUAUUUGACUUAAUACCCCAUUAGAGCCAUUUUACAACAAAACACCGAUCAAGUUGAUGUUCCAGUCAGACGGUAGUACGGUAUAGAAUAUCAGGCUCGCUAAGUUUCAUUAAUUCUUUUUGAGGACUGUUUGGACACGAAGACCUCUUUAUCCACCGUCUGGAUUGGCUAUAGUAAAUCCAUAUGCAAACUAUAUAUAUACUAUUAUUUGAAAAGUGAAUUUGCUUAUUUGUCAUGUUCUCCAUGAUUUUAGGCUGAGUUAUUAAACAAUUUUAAUUUGACUAAUUAAAGUUUUGAUAUCUAAUAAAUAAAUUAUAUAAUUAAUUAUUUAACUGAUUACAAACUAAUAUUAUAAAAAUAUCUCAAAAAUAAAUGGAAAACGUUUUUAAAAAAGAAGAUAAUUCCAUGUAUUUAUUUUGUGUUUAUCUACAUCUUUAUUUCUUAUAUAUAUAUUUUUAUAAUUAGUAUUAUAUAUACACAUAUCAUUUUUCAUUUAUAUACAAAAAUUAAUGUUUGUAAACAUAAUAUGUCAUGGGAUAUUUUUAAAAAUUAUUAAAUUUAUUUUAGUAUUAAAAUAUUAAAAAGAAAUAUAUAAACAAUAGCAAUAAAUUUGAUUUAUUGCUGUUUGUUAACCUGAUUUUUGGGAUAUUUUCAUUUUUAUUCUUAUCACUAAUUUGCAAGAAUAACUUGUAUUUGUUAUUUAAGUUGAAAAUUUAAUAUUUCUUUUUUUAUAUUUAUUAAAUAUUUAUUGUUAUCAAUUAUCAUCCAGUUGCAAGAAUAACUUUCAAAAAAGAAUAUUUUCAAAAUAUAUGUAUAUUUUUACAACAAGUACCUUAUAUUUAUGAAAAUUUAAAAUUUACUUUUAAUUUUUCAAGAGUUUCAAAGAAUUAUAAUUUUGUUUAAAUUAAAAUUUCCUUAAAAGACCAUUAUGUAAAUAAAAAUCUGAUUCUAUUAUUUUUUAUAAAAAAUGUAUUUUCCAAAAUAUUUGUCUUAGUUAUAAUUAUUAAAGUUUGAAAGUUAAAAGACGAUUUGAAAAUAACAAACUAUGAUUUACAAUUAAAAAUAUUAUUUUAUAGGAAAAUAGUAAUCUCUAUUUUAAAGUAAAAACUAUGGAUUGACUAUAGCUUAUUGUUCUCUAUUAUAGCAUUUAGAAAUAAAAACAACAAUAGAUAAAAAAAUGUUCUUAUCUUAUACAUUACAUAUUAAUGUUUUGUUUCUCAACAUAGUUGGUCUGCUUGAGUGUUAAUUCAGUUAUUAUAGGAAGUAACAAUAUAAUUAAUUAAUUAUACAUAUAUCAAUAUUCUUAUUUACUUUGACUAAUAUAAUAUGUAAAGCUGAGUUUGGUUUAACAUUCUUGUGUUUUUGAUUUAUUUUGAGAUUUUGUAGUUUAUGCUAAUUCUUAGAAUUUGGUUUAAUAACAUCACUUUAUAUUAACAAUUAUAUAUUUGUUUAUUUAAUUAUAUCAUUCUUUAUAAAUCUUAUAUAAUAAAAAUAUGUUUAAGAUAACAACAUAUUUUAAAAUACAAGAUAUUAAUGUUGUUAUCCAAAAUAAUGUUUUAAAAUCAAUAAAAUUAAGAAAUUAAGAAAUUGAAACAUUCAUAAAAUAGUAUAAAUUUAUUUUUUUAUUUAAUUUUUGAUCUUUAAACUAAUAGUAUAUUUAUUAAUAAAUAUUUAUUAAAUAAAUAUGUCCGCAUGUGCGGACAAAACUCCUAAUUUUCAUUAUAUUUAGUUAGAUUUUUAGUUAAUUAAUUAAUAAUUGAUUUUUGAAGAUUUUCGUGAUCUAUUUAAAUUUGGUAGAAGAUAUAAAUGUUUUAACAUAUUUUUUAUCACAAUAAGUUUUUUAAAGAUAUUAUAUCCUGUUUUAAUAAAACAAAUAACUAUUAUUGUUGGAAAAGAAAAUUAUAUAGCAAUCAAAUAAUUUAUUUUAAUAAGUUAAUAAAUAUGGAUUAUAUCCCAAUUAUUUGCUCAAAAUAAAUAAAGUAAUUAGUUGACACAUCAAGAACUAUAUACUCCCUCUGUUCCUAAAUGAUCCAUGUUUUGGAAAAAACAUUUGUUUCAAAAAGAUGUAUAUUCUAUGUUUUCUAUGAAAAAAUUGCAAACUUUAAGAAAAUUAAUUGGUUUUAUUAGAUUACUAUUGGUUAAAAGUUGUUGAAAAUUGAAAAUUACAGAAAACGAUAAAUUUAUUAUAGCUAUUUAAUGCGUUUUCUUAAUAUGUGUGAAAACUCUAAAAAAUCUAUCUUUUAGGAACAGAGGGAGUAUUAGGAAGAUAAAUCCUAUAUACUGUCAACAAGUAUUAAAAGAGAAUCUUACAUUAAGAGAAUAUUAUGACACGUGAGCUUUCCAAAAUUAAUUUAUUUUGCCAACUUAAAUCACGCGCGAAUGUUUAACCGACUUUGCUCGUUAUAUUUCAUCUUUGCCGUUGAUUAAUUUACACGUCCAACAAUUUGAGACCGUAGGAUCUCUCUGAUAUCCCCGAAAUUUGAAACCGACUCGGGAUACUGGGGUUCUAUAUAAGAAGUGGUCAACUUAUUAUUCCUUUGCACCCAAAUCUCCCGCUAAUUAGGCGAUGGUUCUCUUGUUAGGGUUUGGCCUCAAUUUUUCCCGGUCCUUCAUCGAGGUACGUUCUUGUCUAUUCCUAGGUUUUCUCGAUUUCUGGUUCCUACUGUUUCUGACUCUUUCGGGUAUUGUGUUGGAUCUCGUCGAUGCAGUUGCGUUACUUUUGGAGAUUCGUAUUUCUAUAGGGAUGGAAUAAGAGCGGAGAGGGGUAAACGAGAUCUGAUCAAGUCUCGUUGAUCAACAAACCACGACAAGUCCUUGUGUAACUCUUGCACAUGUUUUGUUUGGGCUCUCAAACGGAAAAAGAAAGUAGUUAGGGAUGUAUAUGACCUUUGCCAUGACAGGUGCGCUUGCUUGGCAGGUCACAAACCCUUAAUAAAAAGUGAGUUUUUGUUGUGCGGAGGAUUGGGAGAUGGUACGGGAUUGGUUUAUUUUCUUUCUUCUGCCCGGCUCUCCCUUCCUCCGGUCUGUGUGUGUGUGCGCCUGUGUCUCUCUUUUUACUUUCUUGCUCAUUCAUAUGCUUCUUGCAUACCACGAACAUGCUACUUGCAUACCACGAACAUGCUUCUUGCAUAACCCGAACAUGCUUCUUGCAUACCACAUUAUGCUUCUUGCAUAACCCGAACAUGCUUCUUGCAUGCACGUUAUGCUUCUUGCAUAACAAGAACAUGCUUCUUGCAUACCACAUUAUGCUUCUUGCAUAACCCGAACAUGCUUCUUGCAUGCCACAUUAUAUAUGCUUCUUGCAUACCACAUUAUAUAUGCUUCUUGCAUACACACAUUAUGCUUCUUGCAUACCACAAAGAGUAUCACAGACCCAACUGUGGCAUCAAUUGUGUCUCUCUAAUAUGCGGCUUGCAUAUGAACGAAGAGAAUCACUGAGCAUCACUUGUGCUCUUUAUAAUGAUUCUUGCAUGUGCUAAUGGGAAGAACGAACCUGACAUUGAGCCUUGGAUGACCAAAACGAUGGUUAUUAUCUGUAAAUCUUUUUCUCUCAGAAACAUAUUAAAGAAGUAAAGUGAAAACUAGUCACAAACUGGGUCAUUGCAUUUUUAGUUAAGUGCGGUUUAUUUUGCGUCCUCCAGUUCAGAUUGGGUACGUGGCUAGGAUUAUAAAGAUAUAUGUAUAAAUAUUAAUGAUCAAAGGUUUGGCUCAAGUAAUUGUUGUUCUGAUGUAUCUGUGGUGUACUGUGGGUAACACUUAAUGUGACUAUGCUUGUUAGUAUUUUUACCAUCGAGUUAUUCUAAAGCGAUGGAUGUGUUUCAAGAAUGGCGGGCAGGACGAUGGAAACUGAAUCUAUAAAAGCUGAACAGUUGUAAGGAGGUUGGUAUCUGUAUAAUUUGGGUUUGCAAGGAUUUUUCGUACACACUAUUAUCCAACGGUAACGUUUUUGGCCAAGAAAAUACUAAGGCAUUAAUGCGUUGUUCAUGGCUCUCUUUUUUCCUUUAAUCAUUGCCCUUUUUCUGGUACAGAACUUCAUAUUAUUUGAUGACUAUUGUCUGAAUGUUACUUGUCCUAAUUGCGCAUGCAUGCCUGCCUAAGAUUCCUCUUUCGUGUCAGGUACUUAUUACGUAAUGACCAUCUAAAGUGAGCAAGCCUUCGUCUGUAUAUAUUCUUUUGGAUGCAAACGAGAGACUAAGAAAGUGGACCUAUCAGCUCAGAUGAGAAAGUACAAUCUGCAAGAAAGUUCGGAGGCUUAAGGUGGCUGUAACCUAUUUGGUUCCUUUUGCUCUUUUUUUUUGUUUAUUCUCUUUUCAAAGAGAUCAAGAAAAACUUAUAGGCUUGGAUGGCAUAGAUAAUAAGGAUACAUGUAUUGUUUUGUGUAGUAGUACUUGAAUGAAACUUGUGGUUGUCUAGGAUAGUCAUGGCUUUUUUUGUGUACAUCUGAGUAUGCCUCCUCAAAUGUGGGAAAGCCUUAAUACUGUAAAAUCUAGAUAAGUUUGAAAGAUAAAAGACAAGAGUUUGAUAAAAGCUUUUAGAGUACGAGGUUGUAAUUAAGUUCAGCAUGUAGAAAGAUCGCCCUAUGUCUUUUACAAAUAACAAAGAAGCAGAUUGUUAAAUGAAGAAAAAUAAACGCAAACCACAACCACAUCUAAUUAAAGCACAACAAAUGCCAAACCUUGGAAAGUGAUCAGAGUUACCUUCACUUUUUACAAUUCACCAUGUGGAAGGAGGAAACAAUGGUUUAACAUCUGAAGAUGAAGGCGAAGCGACAAUACUGAAGGCUGGAGCAGUAACACCAGUGGUCCAUGAAUCAGCAAUCUCUAUCAUAUUCAUUCCUUCUUCCUCUUCAUCAUCAUUAUCAAUGUCAUUUUCAAUCUUUACCAAUGGAUCCUCUGGAGAUGAACAUAUCUUCUCCAACUGGGCAAACACUUCUCUCAUAUAUGGCCGCUUCUUCCCCUUGUUGAGAUGAAGAGAUCAAGCUAUAUGAAAGAAGGAUAUCAAAGGUACCAGACUUGAGAAGUUAGGCACCAGACUUGAGACUGUUGCUAAGGCACCAGACUUGAGAAGUUAGGCACCAGACUUGAGACUGUUGCUACAGUACUCGGCCCAGAAAGGAAGAAGCCCAUGACAGCCUUUCUCAAGCUCUUAAAACCCUUGUAUCCUCUCUAUAUAAACUUUAUAAUCUCUUCAUUAAGAUUUAAGCAAGAUAAUAAAAAGUCUCUGGUCAUCUUUGAAUUCUCUCUCUAGCCUUUAAUCUCAUUUCCAAAUCUCAUUAAUCUCCAAUCUCUAAUCUCUAAUCUCUUUAAUAAUCCUCUCAAAUCUCUUUCUAAUCUCAUUUAUUAUUCAAGAUGUCUAUAAAUCUUAUGGUAUCAGAGCCUGGGUGAAUGUUCUUGAGUUCUUGAGUGUUCUUGAGAUUAUCCAAGGCUAGAUCUUUGAAAAUCUCAAGAAAGUUUCUGUUGGUGUUUUUACUGAAGAACUAGCCUAAAGCUGGUUUCUUUGGUGGUUUGGAGAGCUCAGAUCCGUGUUCAAGCUUAAAGGUCAAGUCUUUGAAGUGUAUUGGUGCUUUUGUGUACAAACUGAGAGGUCUUUGAGGUGUUCUUAAGGAUCUAAGUGAAAAAGUUCAAGUCUUUUCAAGCUAGUGGGUUACUAGAGUCAAGAUUGAAGCUUUUUGAAAGAUGGAAGAUAGUGGUGGAGUCUACAUGAAGAUUGCUACCAAGUUCAAGGGAAACAACUACCUUGUGUGGUCUAGGAUGGCCAGGAAUGCUAUUGGAGGCAAGGGAUUGCUCAAACAUCUCACAUCCAGUGUGAUUCCAAAGCAAGAGAUCAAAGAAAAGGAGGAAGAAGAUGACGAAAGUGAGACUGCCUAUGAUAAAUGGCAACAAGCUGAUUAUAUGGUGAUUAAUGCUCUUCUUGCCUCCUUGGAUCAGAACUUGAUGGAUGCUUAUAGCUACUGUGAUACAGCUAAAGAACUUUGGGAUACAUUGAAGCAAAUCUAUGGAAACACCUCAAAUCUCAAUAGGGUCUUUGAGGUGAAGCAAGCUCUCAAUAGUCUAGUACAAGAAGAUAUGGACUUUGAGAAGCAUUUGGGCAAGUACAGAGCACUGUGGUCUGAACUAGAGAUGUUGAGGCCAAAUACCAUUGAUCCAAUGGAGCUUAACAAGAGAAGGGAGCAGGAUAAAGUCUUUGGACUGCUUCUCACUUUGAAUCCAGCAUAUGGAGGGUUCAUUCAGCACAUGUUGAGAGAUGAGACUCUACCUAACCUAGAAGAGGUGUGUGCUAGGAUCCAAAAGGAAUAUGGGAACAUGGAGCUAUUUAACAAGAAGGGAAAGGAGCUAGCUUUGGCAAAUCAAGCAGCGCAAGCUCAAGGAGAUCAGGGAGAACUUGCACAAGCUAACAAGGCCAUCCAUGGCAAGUAUGAGAAGUUUGGUGGGAGUUGUGAUCACUGCAAGAAGCAAGGCCACAAGAAGAGCCAAUGCUGGAUCCUACAUCCUCAUUUGAAGCCAGCCAAGUUCAAAGAGGCCAAAGCUCACAUGGUGGAGAGUAGUGGUGGUGGUGCAAGCAAGAAACAGGCUGGAGAGAUGGAUAAUGGGAAGUCUUUGGUGGCUUAUACUGGUGGUCCUAGUUCUAGAGGCAGCACUAGUGGUGAUGAAUACUUGAAGAGAUCAGACUUGGAUGUUCUCAUCAAGCUCUUCAAGGAACAUGGUAACACCCUUGCAUACUCUCAUGGAGCUUCUAUGAUUGCUAGAACUGAUAGGUUACUAGAGGACUCAUUUGACAUGUAUAAUCAUCUUAGAAAGGGUAUCUUUGAUAGGAUUGAUCAUGCAUAUGAUUCUGCCCAUGCAUAUAAGCCCUCUAGUAUACUAGCGCAUCUAGCUAACUCCACAUCUAGUUCAUAUAAGCCUCUCAUUGUUGAUUCUGGUGCAUCUCAUCACAUGAUAAGUGACACUAGAUUGAUUAACAACAUUGAACCUGCUCAUGGUAAUGUGAUGAUAGCCAAUGGUGCUAAAAUUCCUAUUAAAGGAAUAGGAGAGCUCAAGCUAUUUGAUAAAGAUUCCAAAGCGCUUUAUAUGCCUG
This 38588-nucleotide long non-coding RNA is filed under the name Brassica napus (rape). The record is from RNAcentral. Lineage: Eukaryota; Viridiplantae; Streptophyta; Magnoliopsida; Brassicales; Brassicaceae.